GACGAACGCUGGCGGCGUGCCUAAUACAUGCAAGUCGAGCGGACUUUCAAGAAGCUUGCUUUUUGAAAGUUAGCGGCGGACGGGUGAGUAACACGUGGGCAACCUGCCUGCAAGACGGGGAUAACUCCGGGAAACCGGGGCUAAUACCGGAUAAUAUCUUCCUUCGCAUGAAGGAAGGUUGAAAGGCGGCGCAAGCUGCCGCUUGCAGAUGGGCCCGCGGCGCAUUAGCUAGUUGGUGAGGUAACGGCUCACCAAGGCGACGAUGCGUAGCCGACCUGAGGGGGUGAGCGGCCACACUGGGACGGAGACACGGCCCAGACUCCUACGGGAGGCAGCAGUAGGGAAUCUUCCGCAAUGGACGAAAGUCUGACGGAGCAACGCCGCGUGAGCGAAGAAGGUCUUCGGAUCGUAAAGCUCUGUUGUCAGGGAAGAACAAGUACCGUUCGAACAGGGCGGUACCUUGACGGUACCUGACCAGAAAGCCACGGCUAACUACGUG
RNAcentral lists this ribosomal RNA (499 nucleotides) under uncultured bacterium. Its description in RNAcentral is "partial 16S ribosomal RNA". It matches the Rfam family "Bacterial small subunit ribosomal RNA", at positions 28 to 507 of the family's 1533-position model. The record is from RNAcentral.